GAGCUUCGCAUGGAGAGUCUGACCGAGCACGCCGCGUGAGUGAGAAGGUUUUCGGAUCGUAAAACUCUGUUGUUAGAGAAGAACAAGGGUGAGAGUAAAUCGUUCCUCCCUUGCCGGUCUCUAACCGAAAGCCCCCGGCUAACUACGUGCCGCCGCCCGCGGUAUU
This 166-nucleotide ribosomal RNA is filed under the name uncultured Enterococcus sp. Its description in RNAcentral is "partial 16S ribosomal RNA". It matches the Rfam family "Bacterial small subunit ribosomal RNA", at positions 359 to 524 of the family's 1533-position model. Lineage: Bacteria; Bacillati; Bacillota; Bacilli; Lactobacillales; Enterococcaceae. The record is from RNAcentral.